UACGUAGGGGGCAAGCGUUGUCCGGAAUCAUUGGGCGUAAAGCGCGUGUAGGCGGCUUGAUAAGUCUGCUCUGAAAGCCCGGGGCUCAACCCUGGGAGGCGGGUGGAUACUGUCGAGCUCGAGUCCGGAAGAGGCGAGUGGAAUUCCUGGUGUAGCGGUGAAAUGCGCAGAUAUCAGGAGGAACACCUAUGGCGAAGGCAGCUCGCUGGGACGUUACUGACGCUGAGACGCGAAAGCGUGGGGAGCAAACAGG
Molecule: ribosomal RNA, 253 nt
Filed under: uncultured bacterium
Lineage: Bacteria
Description: partial 16S ribosomal RNA
Rfam family: Bacterial small subunit ribosomal RNA
Source: RNAcentral